RNAcentral lists this non-coding RNA (30 nucleotides) under Rattus norvegicus (Norway rat). The record is from RNAcentral. Lineage: Eukaryota; Metazoa; Chordata; Mammalia; Rodentia; Muridae.
UGAGCAACCUUCAAGGUACUUCUGGACCAC